GUAACACGCACGCACAGACACACACACGCGCACACACACACACAUAUAUAUGUGUGUGCACGCACGCGCAUGUGCAUGUGUCAAAUGAUUACCACAAUCUUCAUAAAAUGCAACCGAUAGGUUUUGAUAAUUCCUUGUAGAAAUAAAAGUAUUUCAAAACCCAAUCUUAAUGAGUUCCAAAAAUAUUCUUAAUCCAUCAAAUAAUUCAAGC
This 211-nucleotide long non-coding RNA is filed under the name Elaeis guineensis (African oil palm). RNAcentral's name for it is "long non-coding RNA (EGUI_LNC005379)". Lineage: Eukaryota; Viridiplantae; Streptophyta; Magnoliopsida; Arecales; Arecaceae. The record is from RNAcentral.